CACCGCGGUUAUACGAGAGGCCCAAGUUGACAAACAACGGCGUAAAGAGUGGUUAGGGGAUUUACUAAACUAGAGCCGAACGCUUUCAAAGCUGUUAUACGCACCCGAAAGUAUGAAACCCAAUUACGAAAGUAGCUCUACCUGUCCUGAACCCACGAAAGCUAAGAAACAAACUGGGAUUAGAUACCCCACUAUGCUUAGCCCUAAACAUCGAUUGCACCAUACACUCAAUAUCCGCCCGGGAAUUAUGAACGUCAGUUUAAAACCCAAAGGACUUGGCGGUGCUUAACAUCCACCUAGAGGAGCCUGUUCUAGAACCGAUAACCCCCGUUAAACCUCACCCUCUCUUGUUUUAUCCGCCUAUAUACCACCGUCGUCAGCUUACCCUGUGAAGGUCUUACAGUAAGCAAAAUUGGCACAGCCCAAAACGUCAGGUCGAGGUGUAGUGAAUGAGGGGGGAAGAAAUGGGCUACAUUUGCUAAACAUAGCAAACACGAAUGUUGCAUUGAAACAUGCAGCUGAAGGAGGAUUUAGCAGUAAGCAGGAAAUAGAGCGUCCCGCUGAAACUGGCCCUAAAGCGCGC
Molecule: ribosomal RNA, 583 nt
Filed under: Glyptocephalus zachirus (Rex sole)
Lineage: Eukaryota; Metazoa; Chordata; Actinopteri; Pleuronectiformes; Pleuronectidae
Description: partial small subunit ribosomal RNA
Rfam family: Bacterial small subunit ribosomal RNA
Source: RNAcentral